GAUGAACGCUGGCGGCGUGCUCAACACACGCAAGUCGAACGAAGCACUUUAACCUGAUUCUUCGGAUGAAGGGUGUUUUGACUGAGUGGCGGAGGGGGUAGUAACGCGUGGAUAUCGUGCCUCGCACAGGUGGGUCACCGUUAGAAAUGACUGUUAAGACCGCAGACAACCACAGAGCCGCAGAGCGCGGUGUGGAAAACUCCGGGGGUAUGAGAUGGAACCGCGGCGGAUUAGGUAGUUGGUGGGGUAACGGCCGACCAAGCCAACGAUCAGUAGCCGACGUGAGAGGGGGACCGGCCACCUUGGGAGUGAGACACGGCUCAAUCUCUUACGGGAGGAAGCAAUGGGGAAUAUUGUACAAUGGGGGAAACCCUGAUGCAGCGACGCCGCGUGAGUGAAGAAGUCUCUCGGUAUGCAAAGCUCUAUAAGCAGGGAAGAAAAUGACGGUACCUGACCAAGAAGCACCGGCUAAAUACGUG
This 479-nucleotide ribosomal RNA is filed under the name uncultured bacterium. RNAcentral's name for it is "partial 16S ribosomal RNA". It matches the Rfam family "Bacterial small subunit ribosomal RNA", at positions 28 to 507 of the family's 1533-position model. The record is from RNAcentral.